RNAcentral lists this ribosomal RNA (465 nucleotides) under uncultured bacterium. Its description in RNAcentral is "partial 16S ribosomal RNA". It matches the Rfam family "Bacterial small subunit ribosomal RNA", at positions 338 to 795 of the family's 1533-position model. The record is from RNAcentral.
CCUACGGGUGGCAGCAGGAGGGAAUCUUCCACAAUGGACGAAAGUCUGAUGGAGCAACGCCGCGGGAGUGAAGAAGGGUUUCGGCUCGUAAAGCUCUGUUGGUAGUGAAGAAAGAUAGAGGUAGUAACUGGCCUUUAGUUGACGGUAAUUACGCAGAAAGUCACGGCUAACUACGUGCCAGCAGCCGCGGUAAGACGUAGGUGGCAAGCGUUGUCCGGAUUUAUUGGGCGUAAAGCGCGUGCAGGCGGUUCAAUAAGUCUGAUGUGAAAGCCUUCGGCUCAACCGGAGAAUUGCAUCCGAAACUGUUGAACUUGAGUGCAGAAGAGGGGAGUGGAACUCCCUGUGUAGCGGUGAAAUGCGUAGAUAUAUGGAAGAACACCAGUGGCGAAGGCGGCUCACUGGGCUGCAACUGACGCUGAGGCUCGAAAGCGUGGGUAGCGAACAGGAUUAGAUACCCCUGUAGUC